This 439-nucleotide ribosomal RNA is filed under the name uncultured Dictyoglomus sp. RNAcentral describes it as "bacterial SSU rRNA". It matches the Rfam family "Bacterial small subunit ribosomal RNA", at positions 8 to 491 of the family's 1533-position model. The record is from RNAcentral. Lineage: Bacteria; Pseudomonadati; Dictyoglomota; Dictyoglomia; Dictyoglomales; Dictyoglomaceae.
AGAGUUUGAUCAUGGCUCAGGAUGAACGCUAGCGGUGCGCCUAAUACAUGCAAGUCGAACGGGAUAGCAAUAUCCAGUGGCAGACGGCUGAGUAACACGUUGGUACAUACCCCUAACUCAGGGAUAAUUCCUCGAAAGAGGGACUAAUACCGGAUAAUCCCGCAAGGGUAAAGAUUUUUCGGUCAGGGAGUGGCCUGCGGCCUAUCAGUUAGUUGGUGAGGUAAAAGCUUACCAAGACGAUGACGGGUAGCUGGUGUGAGAGCAUGACCAGCCAGAAUGGAACUGAGACACGGUCCAUACUCCUACGGGAGGCAGCAGUAGGGAAUCUUCCGCAAUGGGCGAAAGCCUGACGGAGCGACACCGCGUGAGGGAUGACACCCCUAGGGGCGUAAACCUCUUUUCUGAGGGAAUAAAAUUGUUGAAGGUACCUCAGAAUAGC